UCGAAGCCUGCCGACCUCUCCUCGUG
RNAcentral lists this small RNA (26 nucleotides) under Bombyx mori (domestic silkworm). RNAcentral's name for it is "ovarian small RNA-28194". The record is from RNAcentral. Lineage: Eukaryota; Metazoa; Arthropoda; Insecta; Lepidoptera; Bombycidae.